This 30-nucleotide non-coding RNA is filed under the name Mus musculus (house mouse). Lineage: Eukaryota; Metazoa; Chordata; Mammalia; Rodentia; Muridae. The record is from RNAcentral.
UAGAAACUUGCAUGGUUGCAAAGUCAGGGG